CAUAAGAAUUGGCGCGGGAAGAACAAGGAGAAAAGCAGAAAGAAAGCGUCGUGUUCAAGGGCGUCCGAUUAGGGUUGCCUUCUACGAAUGCCAAUUCCAGUUGCAAUUUUCCUUCUAACAAGAAUCUUCCUUCAAACCGUGAAUUUCAACCAAUUUCACUUCGUUCUCGUGUAUUGCUUUCUGAAAAUGGCGACGAUUCUAAGUUCGAUGCCGAUAGCACUUCUACAUCAACUAGAGGAAUAGAGAAGCUGGUGCCGAUGGCUCUGGAACCUCUGCUAGAAGUCGUCGAUUGCUUAAGCUUGGCGAAGAGAAGCGCAAACAGGAACAUGAUCGUCUCCACAAUUAUCUUGCCGUCUUUUCUGUAUGAUUGUGUGUUGCGUUGUUUUCAUUCUGUUUGUUUGUUUGCUAGUGAAAUCGCCGGGAAAACGGCCGACUGUUAGAAGAUGCCUGCAAAAACGAGGCGGAAUUUUGCGCUGUUCUUAGCGAUAGCAUCGGCAAUCGGAGGCAAUGAGGAACAAGGUUUCAAAUUUGUUUUGAAGCAAACGUUUAAGGCCCAAAAGGUUUCGGGUCCUGGGUUCUAUUAGUCCAGCAAGUUCUCUUUUAAAGCAGCUGUAUCUCAAGUUAUCCAGUCGUGGUAUGUCAUUGGUCGAUUGGAGGACUUUUAACUCUUCAAAUUUCUGGCGAAUUCAGCCGAGUGCAAUUCCUCUCUAUAAUGCAGAUAAAGGUUUUGAAGUGAUGCAGCCAUCAUUUCAUGAUAUUAGUGAUGUAGAGUUUCAGGAUAACUGGGGCCGGGUUUGGGUUGACCUAGAUAUUUAGCCAUCCAAUAAGUCAUCUUUGGAGGACGUCGAAUGAGCGAUUGGGAGGAAGGGAUGACAAGCCCCGAGAAUGGUACAAGUAUUUCAAAAUCUUUCUUCUUUAUAAUCUUGGUGUAUUUAAUGCCUCCUCUAUAUCCUAAAUCUUCAUCUUUAUUUAAACUUCCGCCAGAAUAGUAGGAAGUUUUUAGGCUUAGAUCAGGUAGUUUGAGAAUUUUGCAUUCAGAAAAUAAAAAAAAUGGCCCACACGCUCUUCUCCUUUAGGAAAGGUAAUACCAAUUAGACGUGAGAAUCUUGGAGGGAGGAUUGAACCAAAAAAAGUAGCCCAGCAAGUAAUGCCUUAGCUAAGUUAAGUUAUGAAAAUCUUCGUUCUUAUGCCCACCUCAAUUUGUUAGGGAAAAAAAAUGUCCCACAGCCAUAGUUAAAAUAUAUAUCAUCCAUAGGGAGGUUAAAGGUUUAAAUUCUCAUCCAUAUGUUUCAUUAAUUAAAAUGUCUUACCGGAAAAGAA
Non-coding RNA from Cucurbita pepo subsp. pepo (vegetable marrow), 1320 nucleotides. The record is from RefSeq and is a predicted model, not a curated record. Lineage: Eukaryota; Viridiplantae; Streptophyta; Magnoliopsida; Cucurbitales; Cucurbitaceae.